RNAcentral lists this unclassified non-coding RNA (178 nucleotides) under Erysiphe trifoliorum. RNAcentral describes it as "sequence contains ITS2". RNAcentral also lists the same sequence under 3 other names. Lineage: Eukaryota; Fungi; Ascomycota; Leotiomycetes; Helotiales; Erysiphaceae. The record is from RNAcentral.
CACCCCCUCCAGCUGCCUUUGUGUGGCUGCGGUGUUGGGGCACGUCGCGAUGCGGCGGCCCUUAAAGACAGUGGCGGUCCCGGCGUGGGCUCUACGCGUAGUAACUUGCUUCUCGCGACAGAGUGACGACGGUGGCUUGCCAGAACACCCCUCUUUUGCUCCAGUCACAUGGAUCACA